This 21-nucleotide microRNA is filed under the name Rattus norvegicus (Norway rat). RNAcentral's name for it is "rno-miR-336-5p". Its record names the gene rno-miR-336-5p. Lineage: Eukaryota; Metazoa; Chordata; Mammalia; Rodentia; Muridae. The record is from miRBase by way of RNAcentral.
UCACCCUUCCAUAUCUAGUCU